UGUUUAGUGGCUACCUGGAUGGCUGA
This 26-nucleotide non-coding RNA is filed under the name Mus musculus (house mouse). Lineage: Eukaryota; Metazoa; Chordata; Mammalia; Rodentia; Muridae. The record is from RNAcentral.